RNAcentral lists this ribosomal RNA (253 nucleotides) under uncultured bacterium. RNAcentral's name for it is "partial 16S ribosomal RNA". It matches the Rfam family "Bacterial small subunit ribosomal RNA", at positions 524 to 776 of the family's 1533-position model. The record is from RNAcentral.
UACGUAGGGUGCGAGCGUUGUCCGGAAUUAUUGGGCGUAAAGAGCUCGUAGGCGGUUUGUCACGUCUGCUGUGAAAUCCCGAGGCUCAACCUCGGGCCUGCAGUGGGUACGGGCAGACUGGAGUGCGGUAGGGGAGAAUGGAAUUCCUGGUGUAGCGGUGGAAUGCGCAGAUAUCAGGAGGAACACCGAUGGCGAAGGCAGUUCUCUGGGCCGUAACUGACGCUGAGGAGCGAAAGCUAGGGGAGCAAACGGG